This 247-nucleotide ribosomal RNA is filed under the name uncultured bacterium. RNAcentral describes it as "partial 16S ribosomal RNA". It matches the Rfam family "Bacterial small subunit ribosomal RNA", at positions 523 to 769 of the family's 1533-position model. The record is from RNAcentral.
AUACGGAGGAUCCGAGCGUUAUCCGGAUUUAUUGGGUUUAAAGGGUGCGUAGGCGGAAUAAUAAGUCAGUUGUGAAAGUUUGCGGCUCAACCGUAAAAUUGCAGUUGAUACUGUUAUUCUUGAGUGUACAUAAGGUAGGCGGAAUUCGUGGCGUAGCGGUGAAAUGCUUAGAUAUCACGAAGAACUCCGAUUGCGAAGGCAGCUUACUAAGCUACAACUGACACUGAAGCACGAAAGCGUGGGGAUC